GUCGAACGGGAAUUACUUUAUUGAAACUUCGGUCGAUAUGAUUGAAUUCUAGUGGCGGACGGGUGAGUAACGCGUGGGUAACCUGCCUUAUACAGGGGGAUAACAGUCAGAAAUGACUGCUAAUACCGCAUAAGCGCACAGAGCUGCAUGGCUCGGUGUGAAAAACUCCGGUGGUAUAAGAUGGACCCGCGUUGGAUUAGCUAGUUGGUGAGGUAACGGCCCACCAAGGCGACGAUCCAUAGCCGGCCUGAGAGGGUGAACGGCCACAUUGGGACUGAGACACGGCCCAGACUCCUACGGGAGGCAGCAGUGGGGAAUAUUGCACAAUGGGGGAAACCCUGAUGCAGCGACGCCGCGUGAAGGAAGAAGUAUCUCGGUAUGUAAACUUCUAUCAGCAGGGAAGAAAAUGACGGUACCUGACUAAGAAGCCCCGGCUAACUACGUGCCAGCAGCCGCGGUAAUACGUAGGGGGCAAGCGUUAUCCGGAUUUACUGGGUGUAAAGGGAGCGUAGACGGAUGGACAAGUCUGAUGUGAAAGGCUG
RNAcentral lists this ribosomal RNA (542 nucleotides) under uncultured Lachnospiraceae bacterium. RNAcentral describes it as "bacterial SSU rRNA". It matches the Rfam family "Bacterial small subunit ribosomal RNA", at positions 61 to 604 of the family's 1533-position model. Lineage: Bacteria; Bacillati; Bacillota; Clostridia; Lachnospirales; Lachnospiraceae. The record is from RNAcentral.